GAUGAACGCUGGCGGCGUGCCUAAUACAUGCAAGUAGAACGCUGAAGGAGGAGCUUGCUCUUUCCGGAUGAGUUGCGAACGGGUGAGUAACGCGUAGGUAACCUGCCUGGUAGCGGGGGAUAACUAUUGGAAACGAUAGCUAAUACCGCAUAUCAGUAGAUAUUGCAUGAUAUUUGCUUGAAAGGGGCAAUUGCUCCACUACCAGAUGGACCUGCGUUGUAUUAGCUAGUUGGUGAGGUAACGGCUCACCAAGGCGACGAUACAUAGCCGACCUGAGAGGGUGAUCGGCCACACUGGGACUGAGACACGGCCCAGACUCCUACGGGAGGCAGCAGUAGGGAAUCUUCGGCAAUAGACGGAAGUCUGACCGAGCAACGCCGCGUGAGUGAAGAAGGUUUUCGGAUCGUAAAGCUCUGUUGUAAGAGAAGAACGAGUGUGAGAGUGGAAAGUUCACACUGUGACGGUAUCUUACCAGAAAGGGACGGCUAACUACGUG
This 496-nucleotide ribosomal RNA is filed under the name uncultured bacterium. RNAcentral's name for it is "partial 16S ribosomal RNA". It matches the Rfam family "Bacterial small subunit ribosomal RNA", at positions 28 to 507 of the family's 1533-position model. The record is from RNAcentral.